ACGCUCGACACCUACGUGAGGCAGCAGUGAGGAAUAUUGGUCAAUGGGCGCUAGCCUGAACCAGCCAAGUAGCGUGAAGGAUGAAGGCUCUAUGGGUCGUAAACUUCUUUUAUAUAAGAAUAAAGUGCAGUAUGUAUACUGUUUUGUAUGUAUUAUAUGAAUAAGGAUCGGCUAACUCCGUGCCAACAGCCGCGGUAAUCUGAGCGGGCUGGCAAGGC
Molecule: ribosomal RNA, 218 nt
Filed under: uncultured bacterium
Lineage: Bacteria
Description: partial 16S ribosomal RNA
Rfam family: Bacterial small subunit ribosomal RNA
Source: RNAcentral